GGGAGGGAGGUUUGGGUUGGGAGGAAUGGGGAACCAGAGUGGGUCAGGGGGUUUAAGGGUGAGGGCAGGCUGCAAUGUCUGUGGAGAAAGAGCUUCCGUUACUGUUUUCACACCCGGGCUGGAAAGAAUGGAGGAAACAGCUUACAGAGCCGCGGGGACGCAGUAAGGCCGGGAUACCGGGCGCCCAUAGGAAGCCCCGCCCGGACCUAAGGCGAUCGUCACCGGAGUCACACUCCAAGAAGGCGCAAGUGCGAGAGAAAGAGAAGGUGUGGGUACCCUGGAAUGGACUCAUCGUGAUUGGGAAGAGAGUGGAACUCUUGGACAGAAACGUGCUAAAGUCUAACCCAAAGUUGGAAUCUGAAUACUGGAAGCUGGAGGGCACAGGGAAGAGGCUCUCAAAAGAGAAAUCGACGCUGCAGCAGGAGACAGUGGAGGUGAAGCUCCUGAACAGUGUAAGAAGGACGGUGCAGGCUCCAGUAGGUUUGGAGGAUGACAUCCCAGAGGAGGCUUGGAGAAAGCUGGAGGGCAGACUCAAAGCUGGUGUAUCU
Molecule: long non-coding RNA, 548 nt
Filed under: Rattus norvegicus (Norway rat)
Lineage: Eukaryota; Metazoa; Chordata; Mammalia; Rodentia; Muridae
Description: long non-coding RNA NONRATT001440
Source: RNAcentral